ACCCUGUUGGUGUCGGUCGACGCA
RNAcentral lists this non-coding RNA (24 nucleotides) under Arabidopsis thaliana (thale cress). The record is from RNAcentral. Lineage: Eukaryota; Viridiplantae; Streptophyta; Magnoliopsida; Brassicales; Brassicaceae.